GAUGAACGCUGGCGGCGUGCCUAAUACAUGCAAGUCGAACGAAACUUCUUUAUGACCGAGUGCUUGCAGUCACCGAUAGAGAGUUGAGUGGCGAACGGGUGAGUAACACGUGGGCAACCUGCGCAAACGAAGGGGAUAACACUUGGAAACAGGUUAUAAUACCGCAUAACCAUAGUUACCGCAUGGUAACUAUGUAGAAGGAGGCUGUAGUACCGCGUUUGGAUGGGCGCGCGGGGCAUUAGCUAGUUGGUAGGGUAAAGGCUUACCAAGGCAAUGAUCCGUAGCCGAAUUGAGAGGUUGAUCGGCCACAUUGGGACUGAGACACGGCCCAGACUCCUACGGGAGGCAGCAGUAGGGAAUCUUCCACAAUGGGCGAAAGCCUGAUGGAGCAACGCCGCGUGGGUGAAGAAGGUCUUCGGAUCGUAAAACCCUGUUGUUAGAGAAGAAAGUGCGUGGGAGUAACUGUUCACGUUUUGACGGUACCUAACCAGAAAGCCACGGCUAACUACGUG
Molecule: ribosomal RNA, 512 nt
Filed under: uncultured bacterium
Lineage: Bacteria
Description: partial 16S ribosomal RNA
Rfam family: Bacterial small subunit ribosomal RNA
Source: RNAcentral